AAUCAACGCUGGCGGCGUGCCUCAGACAUGCAAGUCGAACGAUUAAAGCUCUCUUCGGAGAGUGUAUAGAGUGGCGCACGGGUGAGUAACACGUAAGUAAUCUACCCUCGAGUGGGGAUAACGUCCGGAACGGACGCUAAUACCGCAUAAUGCAGCGGCACCGCAAGGUGACAGUUGUUAAAGAUUUAUCGCUUGAGGAGGAGCUUGCGGCAGAUUAGCAGUUGGUAAGGUAAUGGCUUACCAAGGCUACGAUCUGUAACCGGUCUAAGAGGACGGUCGGUCACACUGACACUGAAUAACGGGUCAGACUCCUACGGGAGGCAGCA
This 326-nucleotide ribosomal RNA is filed under the name uncultured bacterium. RNAcentral's name for it is "bacterial SSU rRNA". It matches the Rfam family "Bacterial small subunit ribosomal RNA", at positions 32 to 353 of the family's 1533-position model. The record is from RNAcentral.